UACGUAGGGUGCAAGCGUUGUCCGGAAUUAUUGGGCGUAAAGAGCUCGUAGGCGGUCUGUUGCGUCGGCUGUGAAAACCCGAGGCUCAACCUCGGGCCUGCAGCCGAUACGGGCAGGCUAGAGUUCGGCAGGGGAGACUGGAAUUCCUGGUGUAGCGGUGAAAUGCGCAGAUAUCAGGAGGAACACCGGUGGCGAAGGCGGGUCUCUGGGCCGAUACUGACGCUGAGGAGCGAAAGCGUGGGGAGCGAACAGG
This 253-nucleotide ribosomal RNA is filed under the name uncultured bacterium. RNAcentral's name for it is "partial 16S ribosomal RNA". It matches the Rfam family "Bacterial small subunit ribosomal RNA", at positions 524 to 776 of the family's 1533-position model. The record is from RNAcentral.